UACGUAGGGUCCGAGCGUUGUCCGGAAUUACUGGGCGUAAAGAGCUCGUAGGUGGUUUGUCGCGUUGUUCGUGAAAACUCACAGCUUAACUGUGGGCGUGCGGGCGAUACGGGCAGUCUUGAGUACUGCAGGGGAGACUGGAAUUCCUGGUGUAGCGGUGGAAUGCGCAGAUAUCAGGAGGAACACCGGUGGCGAAGGCGGGUCUCUGGGCAGUAACUGACGCUGAGGAGCGAAAGCGUGGGGAGCGAACAGG
Molecule: ribosomal RNA, 253 nt
Filed under: uncultured bacterium
Lineage: Bacteria
Description: partial 16S ribosomal RNA
Rfam family: Bacterial small subunit ribosomal RNA
Source: RNAcentral